UACGUGGGGGGUAAGCGUUGUUCGGAAUUACUGGGCGUAAAGGGCUCGUAGGCGGCCAACUAAGUCGGACGUGAAAUCCCUCAGCUUAACUGGGGAACUGCGUCCGAUACUGGAUGGCUUGGAUUUGGGAGAGGGAUGCGGAAUUCCAGGUGUAGCGGUGAAAUGCGUAGAUAUCUGGAGGAACACCGGUGGCGAAGGCGGCAUCCUGGACCAAUAUUGACGCUGAGGAGCGAAAGCCAGGGGAGCAAACGGG
This 253-nucleotide ribosomal RNA is filed under the name uncultured bacterium. RNAcentral's name for it is "partial 16S ribosomal RNA". It matches the Rfam family "Bacterial small subunit ribosomal RNA", at positions 524 to 776 of the family's 1533-position model. The record is from RNAcentral.